CUCCCAGGCCUGCUUUCUCCCGCAGAGGAGAGCGCAGACACUGUGUCCAUCUUCGGUGGGAGGAUGCUGUCUGAGAUCAAGCGUGAGAGUGGACUGCGCGGUUCCGAUCUGCCAAGUCACACAGACCUCUUCUUUCUGGAUUCUCUGGCCUACGACACGCGCUUUGCCCGUGGAAAGCUUGCAGGGUUGGCUGCGGGAAGUCAAGUAUGAGUGCUGAGGGGGAAAAUCACCAACAGGCCUGCGCAGUUUCUGUGAGCCUUGUGUGACAGAGCAGCAAGGGGCUCAGCGGUGUGGCACAGCCCCUGGAGCUCUACAGAAAAAGGCCUGAUCUGAGACCCAACUGUUUGAAGGGAUCCACUGGGACAAUGGCUUUCAGAACUUCCAAUGGAUUGGUCCCAGAACCUGGGAAGAAAAUAUUUCUUCAAAGCAGAGGGCAACAAGUCUUUGGCCAGAGCACGACCUGUUCAGCAAAAGGAUUAAUUUCCCAUUCUUGACUUUGCUGUUUAUAUCACUUUUACCUUUUAAUAAGUAAAUUGUCACAAACAUACAAUUUAGACUUAGAAAGAAAACUCCUUUUU
Molecule: long non-coding RNA, 578 nt
Organism: Meriones unguiculatus (Mongolian gerbil)
Lineage: Eukaryota; Metazoa; Chordata; Mammalia; Rodentia; Muridae
Exons: 4
Source: RefSeq, a predicted model, not a curated record